GGGCCACCCGGGGGCCUCCUUAGUUGGCGGGCCGGUGCGGCUGCACCGCCGGCCGCCGGGUACAUGGGGGCUGCUGAAAUCGCGGGGCCCACGGGGCAGCUGCUCUGGGGCCCCCCAGGAGCAACUGGGCCUGGGGCAGCUGCCCUGUUUGCCCCGCGCUAAAGACGGCCCUGUUGAUCCUAGUAAUGACAUCUCCUUUGUACAAACAUCUCAAUAAAAAUGUGAAUGUCAAAAAUAUAUAUAUAUAUAUAAAAAAACAGUAGGGUUUAUGUAUAAAGAAUAAAU
Molecule: non-coding RNA, 285 nt
Organism: Pelobates cultripes (western spadefoot toad)
Lineage: Eukaryota; Metazoa; Chordata; Amphibia; Anura; Pelobatidae
Source: the annotation of a GenBank genome assembly